GCGGGAGUAACUCAGUGGUAGAGUGUCAGCUUCCCAAGCUGAAGGUCGCGGGUUCAAGUCCCGUUUCCCGCUCCA
RNAcentral lists this transfer RNA (75 nucleotides) under Desulfovibrio sp. RNAcentral's name for it is "tRNA-Gly". It matches the Rfam family "tRNA". Rfam says of the family: Transfer RNA (tRNA) molecules are approximately 80 nucleotides in length. Their secondary structure includes four short double-helical elements and three loops (D, anti-codon, and T loops). RNAcentral also lists the same sequence under 4 other names. The record is from RNAcentral. Lineage: Bacteria; Pseudomonadati; Thermodesulfobacteriota; Desulfovibrionia; Desulfovibrionales; Desulfovibrionaceae.